UAUCUCACAGCGUUCUUUUAAGAAUGCUAUGAAAGAGAACCAAUUACAGUUUUCAGUGUUAAAGGAGCGGCGGAAAAACUCGCGUCGAAAUUACUAUAGCAUUCAUAGUGAAUAAUAGCGUUCCACAAAAGUUACUUUACUUGAAAGCCCUAAAUCGCACACCCCCUUCUUAAAAUUUCAUUCUUUCCUCUGAAAUCAGAGGCGAAAAUCUUCUUCUUUGUUGGCGUUGAAACACAGAAAUCGGCUCAGUUUUUUCGUUGUAUCAGAAAUGAAGAGUUUCGAUCAAGUUGGCGACGCCAAAUUGGGUGAGGAGAUCUUCAGAUUUCGACACCAUCAAGAAAGGUGUUGACACAAACAAGGUCUCUCUCUCUGAAAACCUUCGUCUCCCCCUUUCCCCCUUCCUCCCACUCUCCUCCUUCUCCCUUGUUAGUCGAUCUGUAGGUGUGUCGUGACACAGGAAUACGAGGAUUAAGCACCAUUAGUCUUCGCCAUUUGCGAGCGAGAGAAGUUUCCAGAAAUCAAGCCCAAUUUCAGAGAACCCACAAGUAGCAACAGCACGCCACAGAUACAACAACCUGGUCAAAGGACAAUUACUCUAUCUUCAAAACUUAUGUGCUUUGUAGUUCUAUUGAGGCUGCUUGUUUCUAGUGAGAGUCACAGAAGUUAUAGGUAGAUGAAGAUUUGUGCCUUCUUGUUCUAUUGAGGCUUUUUUCGUUAGUUCACUACUUAUGUGCUUUUUUGAUUGCUUUCCUCUUCCCCCUUUUGGAUAUGUCGAAGGUCAAAGGAAAAAAUGGAGAGGCAACUUUGCCACACUUCUGGUGGUUCGGCAAUCAUAACAAAGACACCACCACAACCCCAAGAUGGCAAACAAUGGCCAUGGCACAAAUCCACCCCUGCUAUUGGAAUCAAGAAGAUUAGAGCAAUUCGAAGU
Molecule: long non-coding RNA, 931 nt
Organism: Rhododendron vialii
Lineage: Eukaryota; Viridiplantae; Streptophyta; Magnoliopsida; Ericales; Ericaceae
Exons: 3
Source: RefSeq, a predicted model, not a curated record